CUCAGGAUGAACGCUAGCUACAGGCUUAACACAUGCAAGUCGAGGGGAAACGACAUCGAAAGCUUGCUUUUGAUGGGCGUCGACCGGCGCACGGGUGAGUAACGCGUAUCCAACCUGCCCAUCACUUGGGGGAUAACCUUGCGAAAGUAAGACUAAUACCCAAUGAUAUCUCUAGGAGACAUCUGAAAGAGAUUAAAGAUUUAUCGGUGAUGGAUGGGGAUGCGUCUGAUUAGCUUGUUGGCGGGGUAACGGCCCACCAAGGCGACGAUCAGUAGGGGGUUCUGAGAGGAAGGUCCCCCACAUUGGAACUGAGACACGGUCCAAACUCCUACGGGAGGCAGCAGUGAGGAAUAUUGGUCAAUGGACGAGAGUCUGAACCAGCCAAGUAGCGUGCAGGAUGACGGCCCUAUGGGUUGUAAACUGCUUUUAUAAGGGAAUAAAGUGAGCUACGUGUAGCUUUUUGCAUGUACCUUAUGAAUAAGGACCGGCUAAUUCCGUG
Molecule: ribosomal RNA, 499 nt
Filed under: uncultured bacterium
Lineage: Bacteria
Description: bacterial SSU rRNA
Rfam family: Bacterial small subunit ribosomal RNA
Source: RNAcentral